Molecule: non-coding RNA, 85 nt
Filed under: Laribacter hongkongensis
Lineage: Bacteria; Pseudomonadati; Pseudomonadota; Betaproteobacteria; Neisseriales; Aquaspirillaceae
Source: RNAcentral
UCUAUGGUGGCGCCGGGCGGGGAGACCUUCGGGUCUGCCGGUCCCUUGGAGCCGGUUCGCCAACCCUGCCCGGUGGCUGCCACCC